AGUUCUAUUGAGGAACCAGGGUGAGUGUUUCCAGGCCUCCCCAGCAUGCAGGCAGAAAUGCAAGAAACAGAGACGCUUCGAGCCAGAGGGCCGAAGCUUUGCCCACUGAAGACCCCAGGAGGAUGGCCAGGGUCUCAGAGGGAGUAGAGGAAGGGGUCAGUAAACAGUUGCUAUGGAGACACAGGGAUGUGUCGAGUGGAAGUACAAGACCCCGAACUCCAAAUUCCAGGGCAGCUUGGACCCAAGACCAAGCCCAGAAGGGUGUGAUUGAAGCUGCUUUUUCAGCCCGAGCCCCAGAAUGAAGACACAUGGAACAGAGUCACAAACAACCUGCAGCAGAUAUGUAUGAUGAACAAAAAAAAAAAAACUUAUGUUGCUAUAAGCCAUU
Molecule: long non-coding RNA, 388 nt
Filed under: Homo sapiens (human)
Lineage: Eukaryota; Metazoa; Chordata; Mammalia; Primates; Hominidae
Description: HSALNT0239979
Source: RNAcentral